CCUACGGGAGGCUGCAGUGGGGGAUAUUGCACAAUGGGGGGAACCCUGAUGCAGCGACGCCGCGUGGGUGAAGAAGCGCCUCGGCGCGUAAAGCCCUGUCAGCAGGGAAGAAAAUGACGGUACCCAAAGAGGAAGCUCCGGCUAACUACGUGCCAGCAGCCGCGGUAAUACGUAGGGAGCGAGAGUUGUCCGGAAUUACUGGGUGAAAAGGGAGCGUAGGCGGGCGAGAAAGUUGAAUGUUAAAUCUACCGGCUUAACUGGUAGCUGCGUUCAAAACUUCUUGUCUUGAGUGAAGAUGAGGCAGGCGGAAUUCCUAGUGUAGCGGUGAAAUGCGUAGAUAUUAGGAGGAACACCAGUGGCGAAGGCGGCCUGCUGGGCUUUAACUGACGCUGAGGCUCGAAAGCGUGGGGAGCAAACAGGAUUAGAUACCCUAGUAGUC
Molecule: ribosomal RNA, 439 nt
Filed under: uncultured bacterium
Lineage: Bacteria
Description: partial 16S ribosomal RNA
Rfam family: Bacterial small subunit ribosomal RNA
Source: RNAcentral